GACGAACGCUGGCGGCGUGCUUAACACAUGCAAGUCGAACGGUGAAGCGCCUUCCUUUUUGGUGGGUGUGGUUGAGUGGCGAACGGGUGAGUAAAACGUGAGUAACCUGCCCCCUUCUUCUGGAUAACCGCAUGAAAGUGUGGCUAAUAUGGGAUAUUCUGGGUCUGUCGCAUGAUGGGUCUGGGAAAGUUAUUGUUUCGGUGGGGGAUGGGCUCGCGGCCUAUCAGCUUGUUGGUGGGGUGAUGGCCUACCAAGGCGGUGACGGGUAGCCGGCCUGAGAGGGUGGACGGUCACACAGGGACUGAGACACGGCCCAGACUCCUACGGGAGGCAGAGGUGGGGAAUAGUGCACGAUGGGCGCAAGCCUGAUGCAGCGACGCCGCGUGAGGGAUGGAGGCCUUCGGGUUGUGAACCUCUUUCGCCAGUGAAGCGGGCCUGCCUCGUUUGUGGGUGGGUUGACGGUAGCUGGAUAAGAAGCGCCGGCUAACUACGUG
This 494-nucleotide ribosomal RNA is filed under the name uncultured bacterium. Its description in RNAcentral is "partial 16S ribosomal RNA". It matches the Rfam family "Bacterial small subunit ribosomal RNA", at positions 28 to 507 of the family's 1533-position model. The record is from RNAcentral.